UAAAUCCUCUUAGCAAAGCAUUAUCAUGACAGUAUGCAAUUUUUGCACCCAAUUUUAAAGAAUUAAAAAAUCUGUCAGUUAAAUUUCAAAUUUGAUAACAUUUUGUAAAUAACGUGACUGGUUGUCUUAUUUUUUUCCCCUAAAAAAAUAGGAAGAACAAUAUCAUCCAGAUUCUGUCACUGAUUUCAUCAUAUAAACAGAGGUGCGUUGGUGCUGUAACUGGUUCAGUGUGAGGAAUUAUUUACACUUUCAGAAUCGAGAAUUCAUAAAGGAGAUGUCACCUAGUGUAUAUGUAUUCAGACUUCACACCUUUAAGGAUGCACUUGUCUGGGAUCAAAAACAGUGUCCAUUGUUACACAGGGUGACACUAGAAGUCAGAAGCCCAGCUCUUAAUAGCUAUACCACUCCAACAUGUGGGAUGCAGAUGAAGAUUUCCAGGAGCCUGUACCUAAUAAUCCUGGGUCAAGAGAAGGUACAGAAGUCAUAGAAGUUGAACCAGUCAUUCGUGAUCCAGGGAUCGAAUGAUGUCCAGAAUAAUGACAGACAGCCGGUCAACAUCGUUGAAUCUUGUAGAAACACGUCGUAUAUUGGUUUGUAAUGCUGACAGAAUGUUGACGUGUGCCUCUAAUGUCUCAAUACUA
Mercenaria mercenaria is the source of this 641-nucleotide long non-coding RNA. RefSeq lists it as uncharacterized. The transcript is spliced from 6 exons. Lineage: Eukaryota; Metazoa; Mollusca; Bivalvia; Venerida; Veneridae. The record is from RefSeq and is a predicted model, not a curated record.